RNAcentral lists this ribosomal RNA (254 nucleotides) under uncultured bacterium. Its description in RNAcentral is "partial 16S ribosomal RNA". It matches the Rfam family "Bacterial small subunit ribosomal RNA", at positions 524 to 776 of the family's 1533-position model. The record is from RNAcentral.
UACGUAGGGUGCAAGCGUUAUCCGGAAUUAUUGGGCGUAAAGAGCUCGUAGGCGGUUUGUCGCGUCUGCUGUGAAAACUGGGGGCUCAACCCCCAGCCUGCAGUGGGUACGGGCAGACUAGAGUGCGGUAGGGGGAGAUUGGAAUUCCUGGUGUAGCGGUGGAAUGCGCAGAUAUCAGGAGGAACACCGAUGGCGAAGGCAGUUCUCUGGGCCGUAACUGACGCUGAGGAGCGAAAGCGUGGGGAGCAAACAGG